This 497-nucleotide ribosomal RNA is filed under the name uncultured bacterium. Its description in RNAcentral is "partial 16S ribosomal RNA". It matches the Rfam family "Bacterial small subunit ribosomal RNA", at positions 28 to 507 of the family's 1533-position model. The record is from RNAcentral.
GACGAACGCUGGCGGCGUGCCUAAUACAUGCAAGUAGAACGCUGAAGAGAGGAGCUUGCUCUUCUUGGAUGAGUUGCGAACGGGUGAGUAACGCGUAGGUAACCUGCCUUGUAGCGGGGGAUAACUAUUGGAAACGAUAGCUAAUACCGCAUAACAAUGGAUGACACAUGUCAUUUAUUUGAAAGGGGCAAUUGCUCCACUACAAGAUGGACCUGCGUUGUAUUAGCUAGUAGGUGAGGUAAUGGCUCACCUAGGCGACGAUACAUAGCCGACCUGAGAGGGUGAUCGGCCACACUGGGACUGAGACACGGCCCAGACUCCUACGGGAGGCAGCAGUAGGGAAUCUUCGGCAAUGGGGGCAACCCCGACCGAGCAACGCCGCGUGAGUGAAGAAGGUUGUCGGAUCGUAAAGCUCUGUUGUAAGUCAAGAACGGGUGUGAGAGUGGAAAGUUCACACUGUGACGGUAGCUUACCAGAAAGGGACGGCUAACUACGUG